Long non-coding RNA from Bradysia coprophila, 263 nucleotides. The record is from RefSeq and is a predicted model, not a curated record. Lineage: Eukaryota; Metazoa; Arthropoda; Insecta; Diptera; Sciaridae.
ACAGUUUAAGCUCAUUAUUUGGCAAGAAAACAAUGAAAGCCAUUAAAACAAUUGUUUCUAUUUUCAAACAUGAGCAAAGUGCCUGCUCAUUUUCACUGCACGCACAUAUGUUGAGGUUGUCUGUGGAUGAUUUUGGACAUUUCGAAUAACCUUGGACUUGAUCCAUAGGUUUCAGAGUUGACUUAGCCUAUAAUUUAUAUGGGUAGACUUGUCAAAAUUCACUGGUUAAACUUAACGAAGAAUUACUGUACGCGCCCUUAGGU